Triticum aestivum (bread wheat) is the source of this 2973-nucleotide long non-coding RNA. RefSeq lists it as uncharacterized. The transcript is spliced from 2 exons. The record is from RefSeq and is a predicted model, not a curated record. NCBI's taxonomy places the organism in Eukaryota, Viridiplantae, Streptophyta, Magnoliopsida, Poales, Poaceae.
GCUUUUUCCCCCAGGGUCGCGUGGAGGCUCUGGUUUGUCCUCCUCAAACCUUAUCCAUGGCGACGACGGUGGGCUCGAGGCAACGACGGAGAGGUCUCGGCGACGGCGGCGUAGGUUGAUUGGAAUUCAGUUUUGCAAGUGUCUACAACCGUCAAUUAAAAUUAAGGCAACACCAAUGCUUUUGUGAUGAUUUCCUUGUGUCUAUAUGGAACUUAAAUGCUACCAUGUGCUCAAUUUUAUUUAAUGUGAAAGUCAUGCUAUCUUGUAAACAUAAUAUACUACAUAUAUUAGUUACUAGGUGGUUGUUUUGAUUCAUGGUGUCCAUGAAUGCUGUAGUCUUGUUUUACAUUCUGCACAUAUGAAAAUCUGCAGCAAUUUGGUACAAGCAGUACCCUGAAUUACAUAUCUGAGGUGUUCCAUUUUAUUUUAUUGUCUAUAUAUUUCCCAUGUUUUUUUUUGUUAUCACGCAAUGGUGGUAGUCCCGCCGAAUUUUCUUCAAUGAGUAGUCUCAACUGCUUGAGGUGGUCAAGUUUCCCUUUUUUGUGGGUUCCUAGUGAGUUGAGCUCUAGCCUAUUCUCAUAUGCUAAUCUUGUGUAGGAAGAUUGCCAGUGUUGCACGAGCAUGGAAUUGUGGAUGUCGUUAUGCACUAUUCUAAGGUGUCGGCUAGCUGGCUAGAGGAGUGUGUGGUCACGGCCUAGUGACUUUUGUUCAUUUUCUUCACUCUAGUGUCUUUUGUCCAUUUCUCCCUAAGUCUCUUGUUCUGGUAUCUUAUGUUUGUCAAUCAUUUCGUCUAUGUAUUCAUUCUAGGAUGAACAACUGACCUCUUACUAUUCUUCUUACAAAUCAGUUUGUAGUGUCCUACUUAAGUGUCUACCUUUUAAAUUUCAAGCCCAAAACUUAAAACUGGCUAUCCCUUUCAGUAAAUAUUUUCAUUUUUCAUCCUUUUUCUUUAGUUUUCAUUUUCCGUAUAUAAAUAGGAGUGUCCUACUUAAGUGGCUCAAGAUAGACCUGGCUGACAGAUUUUCGCCCCCUCUAUUUUUUAGUCUGCACUUUGUUUGUCACUCUAUAAGCUUGCUAUUUCAUUUUUAUCAUUUACCUGUUGUCUUAACAUUCUUCGUUGAUCUGCCUUGUUCUUCUCCAUCUUGUCAGUUAUAGAGGAUGACAAAGUCUUCACUUAAUUUUCCUUCCCAUUCAUCAUUUCUACUUUUUCAUUUCUUCAGUAUUUGAUCUCUUUUUUUAGCUCUGAGUUAGUGUAGCUUUUUCAGGUAAAAAUGAUAGUAGGUUAGUCUCUCAUUUGUCCCACUUAUUUUCAAUACUUAUUCCUAAGUAUUCAUUGUUCAUUAUUCUUGUUCCUCAGUUUGUAAGCUUGCAUUCUCAGUCUUAUAUUAGUUUUUGUAACAGUAUCAGACUAGCAGUCCUCAUUUUAUCAUAUUUAGUUAUCAUUUGCAUCUUUCUUCAGUCCUAACUUUCAUGAGUCUUGUCUUUCAGUAGAUUAUUAUUUCUGUUUUGAACCUUAUGUUCAUGUAAGUCCUAAGUUUUCAGUUUUCGGUUUCAGUUUUUUGCAAUGAUUUUUUGCUAGAUUAUUUUCAGUUUUUAGUCAUCAGUACUCCUAAGUAUCAGUUUUAGUUCUUUUCAACUAUAUGUUAAGUGAUUAGUUAUUUGGUCAGUGUUUGUUCAGUAUCUUAAGUGUCUCAUUUUAGUUCUCUUCAGCUAUUUGGUCGGUGUUUUGUUCUUGUCUAUCAGUUUUAAAUUAUGUCACUUAUUAUUCUAACUAGUUUAGUUUCCAUUCAGCUUAUUAUUUUCAGUUUAUUUUGUUAUUCCUGUAUUUUCAGCAUUCAUUUUAAAUUUGUUAGACUUGGUAUGUGUUUAUAAUUCCUGUAGUUUAAAUUAGUUAUCUGGUGAGUCUCUGUUCUUAGUUUUUCAGUCAUAUUUUUGCUAACAAAUAGCUUUUUCUCUGCCACAUAUGUAACGGGGAUGGCGUACCCAAUGUGCAAGUCCGACCGUGCUGGCCGUCGCUCAUCGCGUUCAAAUUUUGGGGUUUGGUUGUCUGAGGACUUUGAAAGCUCAGUGAUAACUUAGUUUUGAAUAUGUUCAAUUUAUCACUAUAGUUUCGUUUCAAAAAAAAUAUCACUAUAGUCUAGUUCACUGCCAUGGUCAUUUAUUCAUUUAUCACUACAGUCUAGUUCUUGUUAUGGUUAAUUUUUCAUUCAUCACUCAUUUUUACAAGCCCAUGAUGUGGAUAUUACCAACACCUCCCUGUAUUUUUUAUGAUAGCAUGAUAGUUGUCCUGUUCAGUUAAACAUUUCGUUUCUUCUUUAGUUUGUGUAUGAAUUCAGUUUUUCCAAUUGCAGAUACAAACUUAGUCCUUUUAGCUGAUAGAAUUAUAUCAACUGUACUUUUUUCUUAGAUUUCUUUUUUCUCAUUUAGUCAUUACUUGUUGCAUUCAUUUCCCUUUUUUAGUCUAUCGGUUUUUAGAGUUUAGCUAUUUGCCAGUCUCAUCUGCAAACGUCUCAUUCCCCAGCAAGCAUGAGGAUAGCCUAUAUUUUGAUCUUCCUUUUCCAUUUCUUUUUGUUGUUUUCUGUAGUUUAUCCCAUGCCACUCAAGGGUCGAAUUUAAUUGCGCCACUGACGAAGACGUGCUUUCGAGGAAUGUGAGGGGUGCAAAUUCCUCAUCGAGAUCAGGAAAGAACACUGGGGGAUCCACAUCUAUGGCGUUGGGUGGGAGGACUUUCAUCAGGUUGAAUAAUCUCAGUGAGGGAGUUUUGUUCUGUUUUGUACUGGAUGGACUACUAGUGCCAAAGUUGAAGAUUUGCCUGGUUGCGCUACCUCCCAACCAGGUUAAUCUAGCGCUUGAGGCUUCUGUUUUCACGAAAGACAUCAAUAUAAAGGCAAGAUAGAGUGCAAAGCUAUAUGAAACUCUACUAUAUUGACCAACGGAUACAUGGUGUGCCAUUUGUGCAUCUUUUUUUGUUCA